UGGAUGCUAUUGUGUUGUGGUAUGAGAAGAGGUUUUUUCCAAGAAAGAGGUUAAGCCAAAUAUGGAAAAUAAUUAUAUUUUUUCUUUCAGGAAAAGUAAAAGUAAUUAUGGUAACUUUUAUUUUCGUUCUAAGAAAAAGUAAAACUUAAAUAUAGUAAAAAAAUCAGGGCAAAAAUCCUAACAAAUCUCCCCUUUUUGACUUGAUUUUCUUCAAAAUAUUCUUGAUCCUCCUUCUUGUGCAUGAUCUUCGUUCUUCAUAUAUAUUUUUCAUAUAUCACUGCUGUUUGACAUAUUUAAAAAUGGAGCUUUUGGGGUUAAAAAAUAUAUUAGCCCUUUUUGGGUUAAAAAUAUUGGAGCCCUUUUGCAGAGUUAAAAGUGAGCUUUAUUUUCAAAUAUAUGACAGCAGGAUUGUUGAAAAUAUGAUUGACAAUUAUCUCCAUAUGUAGCUUUUGGACAUAUAUUUUCAUUAUCAUCAAAUUGGUUGCAGAUUGAUUUUGAAACCGCUUUGAACUUGUUUAAUCUCGUCUCACCACACCAUUGGACCAUUGAACCAUAAGCUAUGAUACCACUUGUUGGGUUUGAAAUCGAGAAGGCGUCAUGCGGAAGCUAUUCGUUGCAAACUAUGAAACGAUAAAUAAGGAGACAACGAAAAACAAUACUAAAAACAUAAUUUUAUUAUAUGAUUUGGCCAAUUGGCCUAUAAAUAAAACCUAAUAUUAAAAAUAAUAUUAAAAAAAUAUAAAACAAAUGAGAGAGAAAAUUUUCUCCUAAACGAGACUCUUUAAACGACUACAU
RNAcentral lists this long non-coding RNA (795 nucleotides) under Capsicum annuum. Its description in RNAcentral is "long non-coding RNA (CANN_LNC006645)". Lineage: Eukaryota; Viridiplantae; Streptophyta; Magnoliopsida; Solanales; Solanaceae. The record is from RNAcentral.